RNAcentral lists this ribosomal RNA (433 nucleotides) under uncultured bacterium. RNAcentral describes it as "partial 16S ribosomal RNA". It matches the Rfam family "Bacterial small subunit ribosomal RNA", at positions 29 to 507 of the family's 1533-position model. The record is from RNAcentral.
AACGAACGCUGGCGGCAUGCCUAACACAUGCAAGUCGAACGAGACCUUCGGGUCUAGUGGCGCACGGGUGCGUAACGCGUGGGAAUCUGCCCUUGGGUCCGGAAUAACAGUUGGAAACGACUGCUAAUACCGGAUGAUGACGUAAGUCCAAAGAUUUAUCGCCCAGGGAUGAGCCCGCGUAGGAUUAGCUAGUUGGUGGGGUAAAGGCCUACCAAGGCGACGAUCCUUAGCUGGUCUGAGAGGAUGAUCAGCCACACUGGGACUGAGACACGGCCCAGACUCCUACGGGAGGCAGCAGUGGGGAAUAUUGGACAAUGGGCGAAAGCCUGAUCCAGCAAUGCCGCGUGAGUGAUGAAGGCCUUAGGGUUGUAAAGCUCUUUUACCCGGGAUGAUAAUGACAGUACCGGGAGAAUAAGCCCCGGCUAACUCCGUG